Molecule: long non-coding RNA, 194 nt
Organism: Daphnia magna
Lineage: Eukaryota; Metazoa; Arthropoda; Branchiopoda; Diplostraca; Daphniidae
Exons: 2
Source: RefSeq, a predicted model, not a curated record
UCCAGAUGAGAACCUUUAAGUUGAAAAGUAGUUACCAGCUAUGGCUAAACAACCUGCAUUAGUAGUCGUAGAAACAAUACCGACACUACCAACAAUGGUGAAAUUGACGCCGAUGGAUGAUGUUCAGGAUCCGAAUACCUCAAAUGAGUCAGAAUUGAACAUUACAACUGAAGAAACCGUUAAUGAAAAUGCAG